GAGUUUGAUCUUGGCUCAGGAUGAACGCUGGCGGCGUGCUUAACACAUGCAAGUCGAACGAAGCGCCUUAUUUGAUUUUCUUCGGAACUGAAGAUUUGGUGACUGAGUGGCGGACGGGUGAGUAACGCGUGGGUAACCUGCCCUGUACAGGGGGAUAACAAUCAGAAAUGACUGCUAAUACCGCAUAAGACCACAGCACCGCAUGGUGCAGGGGUAAAAACUCCGGUGGUACAGGAUGGACCCGCGUCUGAUUAGCUGGUUGGUGAGGUAACGGCGUCACCAAGGCGACGAUCAGUAGCCGGCUUGAGAGAGUGAACGGCCACAUUGGGACUGAAACACGGCCCAAACUCCUACGGGAGGCAGCAGUGGGGAAUAUUGCACAAUGGGGGAAACCCUGAUGCAGCAACGCCGCGUGAGUGAAGAAGUAUUUCGGUAUGUAAAGCUCUAUCAGCAGGGAAGAAAGUGACGGUACCUGACUAAGAAGCCCCGGCUAACUACGUGCCAGCAGCCGCCGUAAC
This 518-nucleotide ribosomal RNA is filed under the name uncultured microorganism. RNAcentral describes it as "bacterial SSU rRNA". It matches the Rfam family "Bacterial small subunit ribosomal RNA", at positions 9 to 524 of the family's 1533-position model. The record is from RNAcentral.